GACGAACGCUGGCGGCGUGCUUAACACAUGCAAGUCGAACGGAAAGGCCCUGCUUUUGUGGGGUGCUCGAGUGGCGAACGGGUGAGUAACACGUGAGUAACCUGCCCUUGACUUUGGUAUAACUUCAGGAAACUGGGGCUAAUACCGGAUCGGAGCUCCUGCUGCAUGGUGGGGGUUGGAUAUUUUCGGCGGUUGGGGAUGGACUCGCGGCUUAUCAGCUUGUUGGUGGGGUAGUGGCUUACCAAGGCUUUGACGGGUCGCCGGCCUGAGAGGGUGACCGGCGACAUUGGGACUGAGAUACGGCCCAGACUCCUACGGGAGGCAGCAGUGGGGAAUAUUGCACAAUGGGCGGAGGCCGGAUGCAGCAACGCCGCGGGCGGGAUGACGGCCUUCGGGUUGUAAACCGCUUUCGCCUGUGACGAAGCGUGAGUGACGGUAAUGGGUAAAGAAGCAACGGCUAACUACGUG
RNAcentral lists this ribosomal RNA (468 nucleotides) under uncultured bacterium. RNAcentral's name for it is "partial 16S ribosomal RNA". It matches the Rfam family "Bacterial small subunit ribosomal RNA", at positions 28 to 507 of the family's 1533-position model. The record is from RNAcentral.